This is a long non-coding RNA of Piliocolobus tephrosceles (Ugandan red Colobus), 4357 nucleotides long. NCBI's taxonomy places the organism in Eukaryota, Metazoa, Chordata, Mammalia, Primates, Cercopithecidae. The record is from Ensembl.
CAUAAAAAAAUAAAAGCACUUAUUUUAUACAUUAUUUUUCUUCUUUAUGGUAAAUAACCAAUAAGAAACAGCAUUGCACUAUUUGUUAAUUUUAUGUUAUUAGAUUGAAUAAAACUGUCCACGAGAGGUAAAACGUCCUCUGUAUUCCUUAUACUACAAAUAUACAUAUGUGCACAAUUUUUUUUGUAUUAAUUUAUACACGUGUGCUGGCAUAUUUUUGCUAUACGAUAUUAACACAAGUGACACAGUUUAUGAGUUUUGUAAAAUUGCAAGGUAUAGCAUCAUAUAUAAAUGAAUGCACAAAAUAAUUAAAAAAACAUAUAAAUAAAAGAAUAAAAAAAAAAAACAAGGACAAUAAAAAGAAUUUUUAAUAAAAAACACAUAAGCCAAAAACACAUAAACCUAAAACACAUAAACCUAAAACACAUAAACCUAAAACACGGAACAGGUGUAAACACAGGAAAGGGCAUAUGUACAUGCACAAACAGAAGCAGACACAAUUAACACGACAAAAUUUGGAAAAAAAAAAAAAAAAAAAAAAAAAAAAAAACUAUCUUACCCACAAAUGUAUUUUAGUGAGAAAAUUAAAAAAAAAUGCGAAAUUCAUUUUAUAGAUGUAGAAUUGGAAAUAUUCCUUUUUGGUUGCUUUUUGUACACCUGGGAUAAAUUACUAUCAAAUAAUAUUAAACAGAAAGAAAAACAAAAUGAUGAAAAUCGAAAAAAAAGUGAUAAUAAAAAUAAUAAUUUUUUUGCAAGUGAUAAAAAAGCAAAUAGUUAUGGGAAUGAUAUGAACAGAGAUGUCACUGUUACUAGUACUACAACAAUUUCCCAUACAAAUAAAACCCUAUCACAUUUCAAAUGUAACAGCACAAACAGAUGUUCAAACGAAAGUAUGAAUAGAAUAAACAAAUAUAAUAAGAAAGAAGUGAAUAAUAUAAAAUCGUAUUCAAAAAACAAACGCAAUUUUUAUGAUGCUAAUUUUUAUGAUGCUAAUUUUUAUGAUGCUAAUUUUCAUGGAGUACCUUACCAUUUUAAUGAAAAAUUUAUAAAAAAAUAUAAAAUAAAUACUGAAAAAUUAAGUGAGAGAUUAUUAUGUUUUAUAAAAAGCAUUUUCUGUCAGGAUAAUGACUUUUAUAUAUUUUAUGAUUUAUAUAAUUUUUAUACGGGUAUAAUAAAAGAGGAAAAAAAAAAUGAAACAUUUAAAUUGUAUAAUCAUUUUUUUAAGUACAACAGUAGUAACGUAUACAAUGGUAAGAUAAGGAGUAGCAAAAACGCCAAUAAAAUUGAUAAUCUUACCAAUAAACAAGCAAACACGCAAGCAGAUACGCAAGCAAAUAAGCAAAUAGAUAAUAGUUGCAUAUUCUGUGAUAUGAUUUUAAAUGAGGAAAAACAAAAAAAUAACUCCCAAUAUUCAAAAUAUUCAAAAUUCAUUCAUAUAUGUAAAAACAAAUUGUUUAACAAUAAACAUUUUAACAUGUUAAAAAAGAGUGUUAUUAAUACAAAAACAUUCGAUAACAUAUUAAUUCAUUCUAUAUUUUUAGAACGAUUGUUUAACUAUAUAUAUAAAAAUAAUAACAAAAGUUUAUUUUUUUUUUUGUUUUAUUUUUUAAACACUUUAUUGAAUGUUACUAUUAAUAAACAGUUAAUGAUAAAUAUAUUUUUUUUUUGUCGUAUAAAUAAGUUAUUAACCCAUUCUUGUAUUAACUCGGAAGAAGAAAUAAAAAAUUCUACAAAUUAUUUUACAGCAUGUAAAAAGUUUUUCUUGCACAGAGGUAAUGAAAAAAAUUUAGAAUUAAAAAAUAAUAAAAAAAUAAAUAAAAAAUUUAACAAUAACAUAAAAGAUACUCUUUUAAAUGAUAAUAAUUAUAUAUUGUUACAAAAUUGGUUUAAUUAUUUUUAUAUUGUUACAUCAACUAAAAAUGAAAAUUUUUAUAAUCAAUUUUUUUUAAAAACACAAAUAAUAAAUUUUAUAUAUAUUGUACAAAUAAAUUAUUUUCACUACUAUUAUAUCAAGUUAUAUAAAAAAUAUAAUACAACACUAAUAAAUAAGUUGAUUGUAAGAGAAUUAAAACAAAUCAAGGUUAGUUAUUUUGAUAAUAAUAAUAAUAGUAACACUUUGCAACAUGUGGAACGUAAUACAUUGGAAAAGGGAAAUACUUUACAGUUGUUAUUUCGAGAGCUACAAGAAAUGAGGAGUAACUGGAAUUGUAGUAGUGACAGUGGUGUUAGCAGUUGUGGCAGUAGUAUGAGUAUUUAUUCUAUAGAAAAUAGAAAUGGAAAUAGAAAUAGAAAUAGAAAUAGAAAUAGAAAUAAAAAUAAAAAUAAAAUUAAAAAUAAAAAUAAAAAUACGUUAACCGAUAGAAAUAAAAAUAAAAAUACGUUAACCGAUAGAAACAAAUAUAAAGAACGUUUAACAAGAAACACCACACAUUUUUCAAAUAAAAUGAUUAAUAAAAAAGAUAUAUAUCUACCAGAUGUAGAAACACAAAUAACUUAUAUUAUAAAUAAAAGUAUUAAAAUUAUGAAAAUUAUGAAAAGAAAUAAAGAAUUUUUAAAGUUACAUAUUAAUAAAGACACAAGCUUUAACAAUGUUUAUUAUAAAAUGGGUAUAAUCGGUAAAAAAUAUAAUAUUAACACAAACUGUUUGAAUAAUUUUAAUCUUCAAUUAAUCAACGAAAUGAACAAAUAUUAUGUUAAAAAAAAAAUUGAAAAAAAAAAAAUGUUUGGAAAGGCAACUGCACAAUAUUCUAAUUUCAAAACAAAUCAGUCCCAAAUGGAUCAAUCUUUUUGCACUCCUUUAUCAAUGACCAAAAUGAAUAUGGAAGAUAUAAAAUUUGUAAAAAACUUAGGAGUGUUUUUUAUAAGGUCAAACAAAGUUUUAAAUAAAUAUAUAGACAAUUCUGAGUACAUAAAACAUAGUAAUAUUUUUCCUUUCUUGUUUGAUAGUUUAUGCUUAUCAAAUAUCAACAACAAUGCACAAAAAGUGUUAGAACCGUAUAUAUAUAAUAUUUUACGCAACUACCAAUUUAUUGAUGUACAUAACUUUAUUAAUAAUUUAAAACUACUUUAUAAAAAAAACGCUAUACUAUCGAUAUAUUUACAAAAAAGAACAAAAAAAAAAUUAGAAAAUAUUAUUAUUCCUACCAUGCAGUUUUUAAACAAUUUAGAAAAGUUAAAUUAUUAUUACAAUAGUUUAAAAAUUGAUUACCUUGCUUUGACUGAAAGUUGUUAUUUGCAAAUAAAAAGUAAAAUGGAUAAAAGAGAAAAAAAAAUCACAAAACAACAAUAUUAUAACGAAAUUAACAAUGGUAAUAAUAAAAAAAAUAAAAAAAUAAUAUUUCAUAAUUUCGUAAAGGAUAAAAAAAAUUAUAUAUAUAAAAAUGCUAAUAUUUAUAGAUUUUCACUUAAACAAUUUAAUGAAAAUUACAAUUUAUUUAACAUAUAUUUAAAUUAUAAUUUAUUUAAUAAAGCAUAUAAAUUAACUAUUCUACAUUAUGAUUUUUCACUUUCUUUAGCAUCGGAAAUAUUAUUUUUAUAUAAAUUAUAUUUAAUUGAAUUAAAAAAAAAUAAUAUAUUUCAAGCAUUUGAAAUAAUAAAUGUAGCUUUUCAAAAAUGUUUUUUAUUAUGUAAAAAAUAUCUUAAUGCAGUUGCAUUUACAUUAAUGUCUUUAAUUAGUCUACAAUUUGGUUAUAUAGUAUAUAAUUAUACUUUUUUAACCCAAGCACUUAGUUUCAAUCCAUGGUCUAAAACACGGGCCAUUAAAAAAAAAAUAUUAAUAAAUGAAAAUGUUACUAAUAAUAAAUAUAUUUAUACCUUUUUUCAAAAAAAUUAUUUUAGUUCUGUUAUGUCGUAUGAAAAUAAAACACCACAUGAUAAUGAUACAUUAAUACCAAAACAUAUAGAAGAAGAAAAAAAAAAAAAAAAUGAAAAUAAAAAAAAAAAUAAAAUAACGUUUCCUUUUAUAAAUAAUAAUAAUCCAACAAAUUUUGGAAUUACAAAUUCUAGUCAAAUAAAUAAUGUAGAAGGUUAUUCUAUACCUGUUGAUGAUAUACCCUGUAUAAAUAUAGAUGAUGACGAUGUACUUAGUAGUCACACUUUUUCGCAUAUAAACGUUCAACCUGUGAGAUUAAAUAGUAACACUUGUAGUGAAUACAAUUCGAUAGAUAAGUCUAACAAUAAGCUUAAAAUUGGACAUAUAACUGGGCAUACAACUUGGCAUACAGCGGGACAUACAGCGGGACAUACAACUGGNNNNNNNNNNCGGGACAUACAGCGGGACAUACAACUGGACAUACAACUGGGCAUACAACCGAACAUACAACUGGGCAUACAACCGGGCAUACAACCGGGCAUAUAA